ACUGCCCGAGCACUAUUUCAGCUGCACAUUUUUGGGUGGACCUCCCACAGUGGGAGCUACAGAGCACGGCCCCGCAACACACACACACACACACACCUCACUCUUGGUGUUGGGAGGGGAACAGGUGAAAGGAUAAAAGAAGCUAGAGACAAAGAGAAAGGAAGAAGGGAUGGAUGGAGGAAAAGGUGAAACACAAAGGACAAACCCUAAUGUCCCCAGUGAUUCUAAGGGACAAAAUCCCAGGUGCAGAAUAAAAUUCUGCAUCCUUAAACUUGUAUUUUCCAUGCCUAGAAUUCAACUGUCAACAGAUGGAUCAGACUGAACAGGGUUCAAAGCUCGAGGAGGCUCUUACCUUCUGAACAGGGAUGGCUGUUUUCUAGUAAAAUCAGGAAAAGGGAAGGAGAAAAUUCAAAAGAGGUUCCUCCUGGCGCUCACAUCCAUGAACCCAAAUACUCUCUUAGUCCUCAAAAAGAGACCCUGAGAAGGAGACUUGCUGAAGCAAAGCCACAGGGGUCUUUGAGGUGUCCCUGGUCCCUCGCCUCUGUCCUUCCUGCCUGAUGUCAGCAUCUCUCUGUGAGGUCAUCACCUCCCCACCACCUUUGACCAAUAGUCUGAGGUCCUGCAAAAGGCCUUUGUGAUGUCACUGCCACACCCCUCCCUUGCUGUGCUAAUGUCCUGCCCCUGGCCAGGCACUUUGGAGGUUUGAGCUACUCCCUGUGGAUCACCCCACUCAAGGAGCAUUCGUUCUAGGAAGCAAGCUGGCUAGACAGGAAAA
Molecule: long non-coding RNA, 775 nt
Organism: Gopherus flavomarginatus (Mexican gopher tortoise)
Lineage: Eukaryota; Metazoa; Chordata; Testudines; Testudinidae
Exons: 3
Source: RefSeq, a predicted model, not a curated record